AAUAAAGUCUAACCUGCCCACUGAAAAAUUUUAAAUGGCUGCAGUAAUUUGACUGUACAAAGGUAGCAUAAUCAUUAGUUUUUUAAUUAAAAGCUUGUAUGAAAGGUUGGACGAGGUAAAAUCUGUCUCUUUUUAAUAUAAUUAGAAUUUAAUUUUUAAGUAAAAAAGCUUAAAUUUUUAUAAAAGACGAGAAGACCCUAUAGAGUUUAAUAAUUAAAAUAAGAUAAUUAAUUUAGAUUUAUUAAUUUUAUUUUAUUUAAAUUAUUUUAUUGGGGUAAUAAAAAGAUUUAGGAAAUUCUUUUUUUUAAAACCAUUAAUUUAUGAUUAUAUGAUCCAUUAAUAAUGAUUAUAAGAUUAAAUUACCUUAGGGAUAACAGCGUAAUUUUUUUAAAGAGUUCUUAUCGAUAAAAAAGUUUGCGACCUCGAUGUUGGAUUAAAGAUUAAUUUAGGUGUAGAAGUUUAAAUAUUUGGUCUGUUCGACCAUUGAAUCUUUACAUGAUCUGAGUUCAAACCGGUGUAAGCCAGGUUGGUUUCUAUCUUUAUUUUUUUUUUAUAUUUUAGUACGAAAGGACCAAAUAUAAAAUAUAUUAAUAUUUAAUUUUUGAAUAUUAUU
Molecule: ribosomal RNA, 613 nt
Filed under: Trechisibus sp. TRM2
Lineage: Eukaryota; Metazoa; Arthropoda; Insecta; Coleoptera; Carabidae
Description: partial 16S ribosomal RNA
Rfam family: Bacterial large subunit ribosomal RNA (bases 370-528)
Source: RNAcentral